GAGGGUAUAGCCCAGUGGUAGAGUGAAUGCCCAGCAGGCAUGAGGUCAUAGGUUCAAUCCCUGGUACCUCCG
Molecule: transfer RNA, 72 nt
Filed under: Camelus dromedarius (Arabian camel)
Lineage: Eukaryota; Metazoa; Chordata; Mammalia; Artiodactyla; Camelidae
Also listed under: 1 other name
Rfam family: tRNA
About the family: Transfer RNA (tRNA) molecules are approximately 80 nucleotides in length. Their secondary structure includes four short double-helical elements and three loops (D, anti-codon, and T loops).
Source: Rfam by way of RNAcentral